ACUAAUCACACGCAACACACACACUGGCACCUAAAACACACACUACACACACCAUUUUCCAUUUAAGCUUGGACGGAGCUUUUGACUUCCGAUUUGAGCACCGAGACGAGCGCCGAUCAUCUUUUCGAUCACGUAUCUAAGUAGGUCCUUUUGGGAAGUAACGACUUGAGGGAGAGAGUGACGUUACUCAUUGAUACAGAGACACAACGAGGUUGAGCUGAUGUGAUGAUGGUGCUGCAAUGAGCGGAGUCUCCAGGGUUGUUAAUAAAUAGUUAACCUGUCUAGAAUAUGUCUUCAUACAUAUGUCUAGCUACUUUCCGCUGCAAGAUGUUGUUGAUGUUAUAGUAUGUUAUGUCAUACUUUGAGUCUUAAGAGAAUGGUUUCAUACGAUGUAUAACUUGAUUAAUGAUAUUAAUUAAGUUUUAUGCUGUCUUUCA
Molecule: long non-coding RNA, 437 nt
Organism: Salvia miltiorrhiza (redroot sage)
Lineage: Eukaryota; Viridiplantae; Streptophyta; Magnoliopsida; Lamiales; Lamiaceae
Exons: 3
Source: RefSeq, a predicted model, not a curated record